CGCACGGCCGUACCCACUCCUGCGUUACCUGAAUGGAGCCGAGGCGCAACUCCGCCACUUUGGACGAGAUGUCCCGGAGGAAGCUCUCCAGCCACUGCCGGCUGUCCUGCGCCUCGGGGCCGUCCUCCCGCAGAUACCUCUGAGAGCAUCCUGGCUGUGUCUUCCCUGUACCUUCCCAUAGGAUGUCUGAAGACAUCAAGAUGCUCCCUACCCAUGGUCAUCUCCAGAUGAGACCUAGGUCCUUUGCCCUGGUACAUUCGGUGCUCCAGAACCCAACCAUCAUGGUGCCCCUCAGUGGUCUCAUUCCAGUGAGCUGGUAUCUCUCUUGUGCUGGAGAGCCCUGCCCUGAGCACCAUGGUCAUGAUGAGGUCUUGAGCUGAAUGAAGAAGAUAAUCACUUCCCUUGCAGUGCUGGCUAAGCUCUCUCACUGAUGCAGUCCCCAGUGUGGUUGGCUGUCACCACCGCAAGAGAUUUCAUAAUCACGAGGUUUCCCAAGAAGACUGCAUAAAACCCUGGAAGGCAACGAUCUGAUGUAAUGUGAACAUCAUUCUACUGAAGAACCCAAUCAACUUUUGUACUUGUACAUCCCUAUAAAAGGUCCAUAACAUUUCACUUAAUGUGCAUGAAUGAUUUCCCAACUUGCUUCCAUGAGAACUGAAUUUGUUUGCCUCUGUAAUCAGUUGUUAUUACUAGAGUGUGUUAUCUUUGUAGUCUGCUUCUUUUUGCAUAUGUUUAUAAGUUUCCUCAUAGAAUGGUCAGUCAUUCAGGAACUGUAAGUGCACAUUAUUAUGGAGAAAAACAGAAAG
Molecule: long non-coding RNA, 806 nt
Organism: Poecile atricapillus (Black-capped chickadee)
Lineage: Eukaryota; Metazoa; Chordata; Aves; Passeriformes; Paridae
Exons: 3
Source: RefSeq, a predicted model, not a curated record